Molecule: ribosomal RNA, 407 nt
Filed under: uncultured bacterium
Lineage: Bacteria
Description: partial 16S ribosomal RNA
Rfam family: Bacterial small subunit ribosomal RNA
Source: RNAcentral
UGGGGAAUUUUGGACAAUGGGCGAAAGCCUGAUCCAGCAAUGCCGCGUGUGUGAAGAAGGCCUUCGGGUUGUAAAGCACUUUUGUCCGGAAAGAAAUCCUUGGCUCUAAUACAGUCGGGGGAUGACGGUACCGGAAGAAUAAGCACCGGCUAACUACGUGCCAGCAGCCGCGGUAAUACGUAGGGUGCAAGCGUUAAUCGGAAUUACUGGGCGUAAAGCGUGCGCAGGCGGUUUGCUAAGACCGAUGUGAAAUCCCCGGGCUCAACCUGGGAACUGCAUUGGUGACUGGCAGGCUAGAGUAUGGCAGAGGGGGGUAGAAUUCCACGUGUAGCAGUGAAAUGCGUAGAGAUGUGGAGGAUACCGAUGGCGAAGGCAGCCCCCUGGGCCAAUACUGACGCUCAUGCACG